GGCUCGGUUCGGAGGACCGGUCUGGUACCGAACCGGUUGAGUCAAAGCAUGACUUCAACCAGUUUGGUACCAAAUCGGUCCUACUCAGCCGAGUC
Molecule: microRNA precursor, 95 nt
Filed under: Picea abies (Norway spruce)
Lineage: Eukaryota; Viridiplantae; Streptophyta; Pinopsida; Pinales; Pinaceae
Description: miR11420c stem-loop (pab-MIR11420c)
Source: miRBase by way of RNAcentral